UUAAACUAAUGAUAUAUUUUAUGUGCACAAGUCGCAUAGAAUCUAAUCUGAGACCUUGUUUUCUGUUUUAUAUGCAUUUAAUAAAAAAUAUUAAAUGUACUUUUAAUCAUCACUAUGUUCUGCAUGGAUUCGAAAUGCACCAAAAUGCGAAAUAAGAGGCUGCACAUAUAACUUAAGUGCAUUGAUUUAAACGAAACUAAACUGAAAACAAAACCAAAUGGCGCUGAAAAAGAAAACAGGCAUGUUGUGCUGCCGACAAAAGUUUAAAAUCGCCACGAUCUUGAUUUCGAAAGCCACUACAGGAAGACUGAAAAAUGACCGAAGAAAACCAAUUGAUGCCUUUGAAAAGUGGCAUCUUCCUCGGGGGACAUAUAUGUUUCACCGCAUGGUGCGGUUUCAGAUCGGCCCGACGUGAACGGUGAGAAAAUCAAGAUGCAUGCAUGGGCAAUAAAGAUUUCGACUGCUAAACAGGUUCACAGUAGGAGCUUGCCAUCAGAUCACUUCGAACAAAUGGCACAGCGCAAUUCCCCAGUUAGGCUUAGUUAUUCAUUAUGUGUCGAAAAUA
Molecule: long non-coding RNA, 565 nt
Organism: Armigeres subalbatus
Lineage: Eukaryota; Metazoa; Arthropoda; Insecta; Diptera; Culicidae
Exons: 3
Source: RefSeq, a predicted model, not a curated record